CCGGGCGACCGGCGCACGGGUGAGUAACACGUAUGCAACCUGGCCGUGACAGAUGGAUAACCGGGAGAAAUCCCGCCUAAUACAACAUAAUGCCGGGAGGGGACAUCCCCUGCCGGUCAAAGGGGGCGACCCCGGUCAUGGAUGGGCAUGCGGCGCAUUAGGUAGUUGGUGGGGCAACGGCCCACCAAGCCGACGAUGCGCAGGGGUUCUGAGAGGAAGGUCCCCCACAUUGGAACUGAGACACGGUCCAAACUCCUACGGAAGGCAGCAG
This 271-nucleotide ribosomal RNA is filed under the name uncultured bacterium. Its description in RNAcentral is "partial 16S ribosomal RNA". It matches the Rfam family "Bacterial small subunit ribosomal RNA", at positions 87 to 354 of the family's 1533-position model. The record is from RNAcentral.